GACGAACGUUGGCGGCGUGCUUAAUACAUGCAAGUCAACUGAAGCACCGGUAGUAAUACUGGUGUGGAGGUGGCGCACGGUGAGUAACACGUAGGUAAUCUGCCUUCAGGUCUGACAUAACCCCGAGAAAUCGGGGCUAAUAGCAGAUGAUGCAGCGGCUUGACAUCAAGACAGUUGUUAAAGCUUCGGCGCCUGAAGAUGAGCCUACGUCUGAUUAGCUAGUUGGCGGAGUAAUGGCCCACCAAGGCUACGAUCAGUAACUGGUCUGAGAGGAUGAUCAGUCACACUGGAACUGAGACACGGUCCAGACUCCUACGGGAGGCAGCAGUAAGGAAUAUUGCUCAAUGGAGAAAUCCUGAAGCAGCAAACGCCGCGUGAGGGAUGAAGGGCUUUUGCUCGUAAACCUCUGUAGUGAGGGAAAAAAUUUCCAACU
Molecule: ribosomal RNA, 433 nt
Filed under: uncultured bacterium
Lineage: Bacteria
Description: bacterial SSU rRNA
Rfam family: Bacterial small subunit ribosomal RNA
Source: RNAcentral